GACGAACGCUGGCGGCGUGCUUAACACAUGCAAGUCGAACGGAAAGGCCCUGCUUUUGUGGGGUGCUCGAGUGGCGAACGGGUGAGUAACACGUGAGUAACCUGCCCUUGACUUUGGGAUAACUUCAGGAAACUGGGGCUAAUACCGGAUAGGAGCUCCUGCUGCAUGGUGGGGGUUGGAAAGUUUCGGCGGUUGGGGAUGGACUCGCGGCUUAUCAGCUUGUUGGUGGGGUAGUGGCUUACCAAGGCUUUGACGGGUAGCCGGCCUGAGAGGGUGAACGGCGACAUUGGGACUGAGAUACGGCCCAGACUCCUACGGGAAGCAGCAGUGGGGAAUAUUGCACAAUGGGCGGAAGCCUGAUGCAGCAACGCCGCGUGCGGGAUGACGGCCUUCGGGUUGUAAACCGCUUUCGCCUGUGACGAAGCGUGAGUGACGGUAAUGGGUAAAGAAGCAACGGCUAACUACGUG
Molecule: ribosomal RNA, 468 nt
Filed under: uncultured bacterium
Lineage: Bacteria
Description: partial 16S ribosomal RNA
Rfam family: Bacterial small subunit ribosomal RNA
Source: RNAcentral